RNAcentral lists this ribosomal RNA (433 nucleotides) under uncultured bacterium. RNAcentral describes it as "partial 16S ribosomal RNA". It matches the Rfam family "Bacterial small subunit ribosomal RNA", at positions 29 to 507 of the family's 1533-position model. The record is from RNAcentral.
AGCGAACGCUGGCGGCAGGCCUAACACAUGCAAGUCGAACGAACUCUUCGGAGUUAGUGGCGGACGGGUGAGUAACACGUGGGAACGUGCCUUUAGGUUCGGAAUAACUCAGGGAAACUUGUGCUAAUACCGAAUGUGCCCUUCGGGGGAAAGAUUUAUCGCCUUUCGAGCGGCCCGCGUCUGAUUAGCUAGUUGGUGAGGUAAAGGCUCACCAAGGCGACGAUCAGUAGCUGGUCUGAGAGGAUGAUCAGCCACAUUGGGACUGAGACACGGCCCAAACUCCUACGGGAGGCAGCAGUGGGGAAUCUUGCGAAAUGGGCGAAAGCCUGACGCAGCCAUGACGCGUGAAUGAUGAAGGUCUUAGGAUUGUAAAAUUCUUUCACCGGGGACGAUAAUGACGGUACCCGGAGAAGAAGCCCCGGCUAACUUCGUG